CAUCCUCUGAUGCCGAUUCUUGCUCCAGUUACUGGUGCAAGCUGCUCACACAGGUCCACUGCCUGUGCUGCUGGAUGGACACCUUGGGACUCCAGACAAAGACUCUUCCUCAUUUAUUUCCAAAACUACAGCGUUGGUGCUCAGGAGCUGAAAGGCAUCCCAGAUGUCCCACAGACCUUGGCAGUGGCAGUGUCCAGCAAUGGAGCUGAUAACACACACUCAGCCAGUGCCUUGUGACAGUCUGGCUGUAUCAGAAUUUCCUUUAAAGCAACAUUUUUUACUCCACUUACAAUAAGCCAGCUUGUUCUGCUGCUUCAGUACCAGCUGUAAACUCCAACCUGCUUCCUGGGGGUGCUCAGCACGGCCCUGCAGGCACCACACCAGCCCCAGGCAGUGUCACAACCCAACUCUGAGUGACAGUGUUCCACAGCUCAGAAGGUAUUUGCCAUUUGGCCACACUUCCUGUGCUUGUCCUGAUCAUUCCCUGAUCAUUCAUGUUCCUGACCUGGCAGCCAGUGUGUGGUGCUCAGGCUUGAGGGAAAAUCAGCAGCGAGUGCCUGGAAGUGCAGUUGAGUCAUGUUGUACCUCACUAUUCCUGCUUAAUGUGCCUGGCCACUGGGAAAAGACUGAUGGAUCUCUUACCAGGAAAUCCAACCAUUCUGAUUUUAUUCUGCUCAGAAUGAAUUUACUUCACCUCUCCUCCACCUGGUCAUAGCAAAGCAAAGAUGUCUUUCUACUUCUCCACCUCCCAUGGCCUUGCUGAGUGGCACUGUGUAACUCCAGUAUGAUUUUGUCUCUGUUUUUCCCCAUCUGCAAAGAUGGUGCUGGUGAUGCUGGCAGGUGUCCAUGCCACAGUGUGUGAACCACAACUGAGAUAUUGCCAGGAUGAUAUUUAUGCAAAGAAACAAGGAGAGAAGAUGCAUCUGGGGAGAAAUGUGGAGAGAAACAACAUGGAACAAGUUAGCAAAAUUGUGAUAAAGGCACUUACCUUUGUUCCUCACCAGACUGGAGGAUGCAAUGUGCUUCCAGAUGUCACUGCUACUGUCUUGGUUUCCAAGGUCUGUUAUCUUUGUCAAACAAGAGCUUCCCCUGUGGAUAGUCCCAACAAAGAACCCAAAUUCCAAGAAGUGGAGCAAAUGUUUUCUGAAGCACUGCUAGCCCAGGACAGCUCAAAACCCACAUGUACAAAGACGAGAAAAUACACGUCUAUUUUGAAAUAUACCACGUCACAGAUGUAGCCAGAGAAGAAUGAUGUGAAGGUGGAGAGGAUGCUGAAAGGAAAGGCUGAGAUAUCAACCCAGCAAUGCUGGGAUCUUCCCACUGCUUGGAAAAUGGGGUCAGUAUAGAAGAGCUCCCAUUACCUAUGGAGAAAUGAGGCACAGAACAAGGUUUCAGCCUUCCCAACAUCUCUGGGCAUCUGGAGCAGCAUUAAGAGUACAGUAAAGGGAUCUCUACUCCAGAGUGAUGUCCCAAACCUUGUUUUCCCCACCCAUUAGAAGCUGUGAUCACAGCCUCUGAAAAUUCCCUGUGGCCAGCCUAGGAAUUAUCAACCUUUUCCAGAGCCCUAUUACCAAAUGGCUUUAAAAAUGCAGCUAUCUUUUAAUUUUGCAUUUGCUAUAAAAUGUAUAAAUCAUACAGCUGCAAUUUUUUUGGCUUUGUAGCAUAAUUAAUUCCAUAGAUGUUUAAAAUCCAUGCUUGUGCCAAUCAUUGAUUGUCAAAAAAGAAAGAAAAGCAGGCUAGUUUGGAUAUCUAAAUAGUUCUCCCUCAUAAAAAAAAAGAGCCCUUAAAAACAGCCUUCAAGACCUACCUGAUUUAAUUAUCUAGUAAAUUUUCCUUUUUUUCCAGAUAAAAUUAGCAAUGAGCCUAUCGAUUUUUUGUGUAGCUGGAAAUGCAUAGGUAGAGCUAAAAUAAGGGUAAAUAAAACAUGAUGGACUCUCA
Molecule: long non-coding RNA, 1938 nt
Filed under: Parus major (Great Tit)
Lineage: Eukaryota; Metazoa; Chordata; Aves; Passeriformes; Paridae
Description: lncRNA (ENSPMJG00000009576.1)
Source: RNAcentral